RNAcentral lists this ribosomal RNA (492 nucleotides) under uncultured bacterium. RNAcentral describes it as "partial 16S ribosomal RNA". It matches the Rfam family "Bacterial small subunit ribosomal RNA", at positions 29 to 507 of the family's 1533-position model. The record is from RNAcentral.
AGUGAACGCUGGCGGUAUGCCUAACACAUGCAAGCCGAACGGCAGCACAGUAAGAGCUUGCUCUUACGGGUGGCGAGUGGCGGACGGGUGAGGAAUACAUCGGAAUCUACUUUUUCGUGGGGGAUAACGUAGGGAAACUUACGCUAAUACCGCAUACGACCUACGGGUGAAAGCAGGGGAUCUUCGGACCUUGCGCGAUUGAAUGAGCCGAUGUCGGAUUAGCUAGUUGGCGGGGUAAAGGCCCACCAAGGCGACGAUCCGUAGCUGGUCUGAGAGGAUGAUCAGCCACACUGGAACUGAGACACGGUCCAGACUCCUACGGGAGGCAGCAGUGGGGAAUCUUCGACAAUGGGCGCAAGCCUGACGCAGCCAUACCGCGUGGGUGAAGAAGGCCUUCGGGUUGUAAAGCCCUGUUAUUGGGAAAGAAAAGCAGCAGGUUAAUACCUGGCUGUUCUGACGGUACCCAAAGAGAAAGCACCGGCUAACUUCGUG